CGGGUGAGUAACACGUGAGCAACCUGCCCCUGACUCCGGGAUAAGCGGUGGAAACGCCGUCUAAUACCGGAUACGACCCGCCACCUCAUGGUGGAGGGUGGAAAGUUUUUCGGUCAGGGAUGGGCUCGCGGCCUAUCAGCUUGUUGGUGGGGUAACGGCCUACCAAGGCGAUUACGGGUAGCCGGCCUGAGAGGGCGACCGGCCACACUGGGACUGAGACACGGCCCAGACUCCUGCGGGAGGCAGCAGUGGGGAAUAUUGCGCAAUGGGCGAAAGCCUGACGCAGCGACGCCGCGUGGGGGAUGACGGCCUUCGGGUUGUAAACCUCUUUUACCACCAACGCAGGCUCGAAGUUCUCUUCGGGUUGACGGUAGGUGGGGAAUAAGGACCGGCUAACUACGUGCCAGCAGCCGCGGUAAUACGUAGGGUCCGAGCGUUGUCCGGAAUUAUUGGGCGUAAAGAGCUCGUAGGCGGCGUGUCGCGUCUGCUGUGAAAGACCGGGGCUUAACUCCGGUUCUGCAGUGGAUACGGGCAUGCUAGAGGUAGGUAGGGGAGACUGGAAUUCCUGGUGUAGCGGUGAAAUGCGCAGAUAUCAGGAGGAACACCGGUGGCGAAGGCGGGUCUCUGGGCCUUACCUGACGCUGAGGAGCGAAAGCAUGGGGAGCGAACAGGAUUAGAUACCCUGGUAGUCCAUGCCGUAAACGUUGGGCGCUAGGUGUGGGGACUUUCCACGGUUUCCGCGCCGUAGCUAACGCAUUAAGCGCCCCGCCUGGGGAGUACGGCCGCAAGGCUAAAACUCAAAGGAAAUUGACGGGGGCCCGCACAAGCGGCGGAGCAUGUUGCUUAAUUCGACGCAACGCGAAGAACCUUACCAAGGUUUGACAUCACCCGUGGACUCGCAGAGAUGUGAGGUCAUUUAGUUGGCGGGUGACAGGUGGUGCAUGGCUGUCGUCAGCUCGUGUCGUGAGAUGUUGGGUUAAGUCCCGCAACGAGCGCAACCCUUGUUCCAUGUUGCCAGCACGUAAUGGUGGGGACUCAUGGGAGACUGCCGGGGUCAACUCGGAGGAAGGUGGGGAUGACGUCAAGUCAUCAUGCCCCUUAUGUCUUGGGCUGCAAACAUGCUACAAUGGCCGGUACAAUGGGCGUGCGAUACCGUAAGGUGGAGCGAAUCCCUAAAAGCCGGUCUCAGUUCGGAUUGGGGUCUGCAACUCGACCCCAUGAAGGUGGAGUCGCUAGUAAUCGCGGAUCAGCAACCCCGCGGUGAAUACGUUGCCGGGCCUUGUUCACAUCGCCCG
RNAcentral lists this ribosomal RNA (1295 nucleotides) under Nocardiopsis sp. Its description in RNAcentral is "bacterial SSU rRNA". It matches the Rfam family "Bacterial small subunit ribosomal RNA", at positions 103 to 1396 of the family's 1533-position model. The record is from RNAcentral. Lineage: Bacteria; Bacillati; Actinomycetota; Actinomycetes; Streptosporangiales; Nocardiopsidaceae.